RNAcentral lists this transfer RNA (69 nucleotides) under Rattus norvegicus (Norway rat). It matches the Rfam family "tRNA". From Rfam's summary of the family: Transfer RNA (tRNA) molecules are approximately 80 nucleotides in length. Their secondary structure includes four short double-helical elements and three loops (D, anti-codon, and T loops). Lineage: Eukaryota; Metazoa; Chordata; Mammalia; Rodentia; Muridae. The record is from Rfam by way of RNAcentral.
GGGGAUUUAGCUCAGUGAUAGAGUGCUUGCCUAGCAAGCACAAGGCCCUGGGUUCAGUCCCCAGCUCCG